UGAAUGAGGAUGAUGCUGCAAACUGUAAGAUUCUGUUGCUUCUUUUGCCGUAUUUGCUCCAAUUAUCAUCCAAGACAGACAGUAGAACAAUAUCAAAAUUAAUUCAGAUAUGGGUCUGUUUUUAUCCAAUAAUUCAUGUGUUGAGUCUGUUAUGUUGUUCUAAGGUUGAAAUCUUAUCCAAUAACAUGCUCACAUGCAUUUGAGCACAAUACACUUAAAAAUGGGAGAGAGAGAGAGAGAGUUUAUGCAAACUAGACAUACAAAGAUGAGAAAGUGUGCAAGAGACGAUACUGUUAGAAGCGACAGUCUCAACUACAUUUACUUUUCUGCUAGUGGGAGUCAUAGAUGGCCUAAUCUGAUUCUCUGACCAUAUGAAGGUCACUAAGCAGAACUUGGCAUCUGGUCCUUGACGUUUAAGGGGACUAACAAGAUGCCCAAUCUGACUACAAAGGCUAUAACCAAUUAAGAUGUCUCCAGUUUUACUUGAACGCAAACUGUGGGAGGCUGUUGUAAUGUUUGGAGAAGAAAUCUGUCCUGAUUAGGGACCCUGACAGAUAUUUCAUUCAAUUCUGGGCUUUAUAAAAGCUUGAGCAACAUUUUUAACAUCACUUGUAGCCUUUUUAAAGAUCAAAAGGAUGACUAACAAAUUGUUUUUAUUUCUGGAAUUCUAAAUGAUUUACUGAACUGAAAUCUGUGGCAAGUGCUUUGAUAGGAAGCUUUUAGAUUGAGGACCUAAUAUGCAAGGUUUACACAUGCGUACGUAUGUGUGUGUGUGUAUACUUAUGGAUUGUUUAAUUACACUUAGUUAGCAAAUAAUAUAGUAUUUGAGUAAGCUCUACAUGUUGCAAAUGAAAUUCUGUUCUCAUAUGCAGAUGUACUGCAGC
RNAcentral lists this unclassified non-coding RNA (884 nucleotides) under Hevea brasiliensis (rubber tree). Lineage: Eukaryota; Viridiplantae; Streptophyta; Magnoliopsida; Malpighiales; Euphorbiaceae. The record is from RNAcentral.